Molecule: unclassified non-coding RNA, 194 nt
Filed under: uncultured fungus
Lineage: Eukaryota; Fungi
Description: sequence contains ITS1
Source: RNAcentral
UUAACUAUUAUAUAGUACUCAGACGACAAUAAUAAUAAGAGUUUUGAUUCCUCUGGCGGCCGCUGACCAGCCGGAGCCGGUUGUCUUGCGACGGGGCCGCCAAAGCAACAAAGGUAUUGUAUACAGAGGGUGGGAGGUCUACCCCGAAGGGCAUGAUCUCAUUAAUGAUCCUUCCGCAGGUUCACCUACGGAAA